This 450-nucleotide ribosomal RNA is filed under the name uncultured bacterium. Its description in RNAcentral is "partial 16S ribosomal RNA". It matches the Rfam family "Bacterial small subunit ribosomal RNA", at positions 354 to 796 of the family's 1533-position model. The record is from RNAcentral.
GUGGGGAAUCUUCCGCAAUGGACGAAAGUCUGACGGAGCGACGCCGCGUGAGUGAAGAAGGCCUUCGGGUCGUAAAGCUCUGUCAUCAGGGACGAACGGCCGGUGGAGUGGAAAGCCACCGGAUUGACGGUACCUGAGAAGGAAGCCACGGCUAACUACGUGCCAGCAGCCGCGGUAAUACGUAGGUGGCAAGCGUUGUCCGGAAUUAUUGGGCGUAAAGCGCGCGCAGGUGGGAUCUUAAGUCCAUUUUUAAAGUUCGGAGCUCAACUCCGUGAUGGGAUGGAAACUGGGAUUCUUGAGGACCGGAGAGGAAAGCGGAAUUCCCCGUGUAGCGGUGAAAUGCGUAGAUAUGGGGAGGAACACCAGUGGCGAAGGCGGCUUUCUGGACGGUGUCUGACACUGAGGCGCGAAAGCCAGGGGAGCGAACGGGAUUAGAAACCCGAGUAGUCC